Non-coding RNA from Morus notabilis, 109 nucleotides. NCBI's taxonomy places the organism in Eukaryota, Viridiplantae, Streptophyta, Magnoliopsida, Rosales, Moraceae. The record is from Rfam.
GUGUUCUUAGAAAGGAGAGAUGGUUGGCAUCUUCCCUGACAGGGACGGGGUUCCCUCUUAACACACCCGGUUCUACCGGAUAAGGAUUGUGAAAGGUUUAGUAAUUUGC